This 549-nucleotide ribosomal RNA is filed under the name uncultured bacterium. RNAcentral describes it as "partial 16S ribosomal RNA". It matches the Rfam family "Bacterial small subunit ribosomal RNA", at positions 355 to 895 of the family's 1533-position model. The record is from RNAcentral.
UGGGGAAUCUUCCGCAAUGGACGAAAGUCUGACGGAGCAACGCCGCGUGAGUGAAGAAGGUUUUCGGAUCGUAAAACUCUGUCUUUUGGGGCGAACGUGAGUAUGGUGAACAAUCAUAGUCAGUGACGGUACCAAAGGAGGAAGCCACGGCUAACUACGUGCCAGCAGCCGCGGUAAUACGUAGGUGGCAAGCGUUGUCCGGAAUUAUUGGGCGUAAAGAGCGCGUAGGCGGGAUAGUCAGUCUGUUGUAAAGUGCGGGGCUCAACCCCGUGAUGGCAAUGGAAACAGCUAUUCUUGAGUGCAGGAGAGGAAAGUGGAAUUCCCAGUGUAGCGGUGAAAUGCGUAGAUAUUGGGAGGAACACCAGUGGCGAAGGCGACUUCCUGGACUGUGUCUGACGCUGAGGCGCGAAAGCCAGGGGAGCGAACGGGAUUAGAUACCCCGGUAGUCCUGGCCGUAAACGAUGGGUACUAGGUGUGGGGGGUAUCGACCCCUUCCGUGCCGGAGUUAACGCAAUAAGUACCCCGCCUGGGGAGUACGGUCGCAAGAUU